Molecule: long non-coding RNA, 808 nt
Organism: Panicum virgatum (switchgrass)
Lineage: Eukaryota; Viridiplantae; Streptophyta; Magnoliopsida; Poales; Poaceae
Exons: 3
Source: RefSeq, a predicted model, not a curated record
UUACCGGAUUGCCCUGAGCUACUCGGAGGCCAAGAAGCUCGUCGAGGCCAACGACUGGGGUUCCCUCUUCGAGAAGGAUCAGUGGGGGACUCCCUCGCUGUGUUUCUGUCAGAGCUCUGCAAGUGUUCAUUUGGUGUUCUGAACCGAGCAGCUAAAGACUGAAAGGGAGAACGGAGAUUUCAGAGGGUGGAAUGAGGGCAAGAUCUUCUUUGCUCCGACAUAAAAGUACUCCUGAAAUUCCGACAGUUAUGCAGGGGAGGACGUCACGUCGAAGAAGAAGCGGAGAACACCAGCAUGGUGUGACCGGAUCCUUUGGCAUGGUGAAGGGAUAGUGCAACUGUCCUACAUCCGGGGGGAAUCCAAAUUUUCAGACCAUCGCCCCGUCUGCAGUGUGUUCAUUGUUGAGAUUGCGGUUCUCGACAGCAAACUUAUCAAGGUUGCAUCGGGUCCUAACAUGAAAGUCGGAAGAACUCCUAAUUGCCCACCAAGUAGCAGAUGAUAACACAGCAUUUGCUCAAGUUCAUACACCACACACACAUGGUCAUUCAGGCUUGGAGCACUAACUUCAAAUAUUGUGUACACUACUGAACGUAGGUAACUAAUGAGAAGCAUGUCCUGAAGUGCUUCCUAGCUGGCUAGAUGCACUCUGGGCUAACUGAAGCUCCACAUAUUUGUUGUUUCGUUGUUAUUUCAGCAAUCAAUAUUUUUACCUUCUGCAUCGGUUGGAAACCAAAGGGUUCCCAAGACCAUGUAUGUAUCUACGGCUGAUAUCAGACCUUGGACUUUAUGGACAUUGGACAAUGAUUAA